AAGUCGUAACAAGGUCUCCGUUGGUGAACCAGCGGAGGGAUCAUUACAGAGUGUUAAAACUCCCAAACCUUUGUGAACAUACUACUGUUGCUUCGGCGGACCCGCCCCGCGGCGCGCACUGCGUGACCCGGGCCAAGGCGGCCGCCGGAGGCACCAAACUCUUGUCUUUAUAGUGGAUUUCUGAGUGGCAUAAGCAAAUAAAUCAAAACUUUCAGCAACGGAUCUCUUGGUUCUG
Molecule: unclassified non-coding RNA, 235 nt
Filed under: Acremonium alternatum
Lineage: Eukaryota; Fungi; Ascomycota; Sordariomycetes; Hypocreales; Bionectriaceae
Description: partial internal transcribed spacer region
Rfam family: Eukaryotic small subunit ribosomal RNA (bases 1-46)
Source: RNAcentral